Homo sapiens (human) is the source of this 911-nucleotide long non-coding RNA. Ensembl annotates it as ZRANB2 divergent transcript. Its record names the gene ZRANB2-DT. The record is from Ensembl. NCBI's taxonomy places the organism in Eukaryota, Metazoa, Chordata, Mammalia, Primates, Hominidae.
GGUGGAGGCGGAAGUGACUGAUCAAUUCAGGGGCGUGGGGUUCGUUUAGGUUUUGCCCUGUGUAUGACCUCGUUUGGAGCCAUGAAACCAGGUCACCAUGUGUGAUGACUACAUCCAAAGAGAGUGAGUGGCUUGAGACAUUGGUAGUAUGUGUAUCUGAUCAUAUCAAUAUGUUAAAAUGACGUUCAAAGUAUGAUCUACCUCAGAAUAAUCUAGCCUCAAGCUUUAUUCUAGGAAGAUACAAGGGACAGAAUAGUUAGCAGUGUUCCUGUUGAAAGGUCCAAGUAUCUCCCUAGGCACAGAAAACACCCAAAUGAGCAAAGCAGACCUUGGUGGCCAGAGGGGAGCCCUCAGGUAGAGCUGCAGAUGCUGGCAGUUUGUGUUAGAAGGUUCCGGGGCUAAACAGAUGCCUAGAAUUAGCCACCAAAAGGUAAAUUGUAGACUCCACUCUUCAAGAAGCAGCAGAAGGAUUAGGAAUUCAAACAGUGCUAUUUUACGGUCAUAAGAACAGACAGUAUUUUUUUGGCGCAGCAAGAACUUCUUAGGCCAUAAAGCAUGACAGACCUCUUUUCCUUAUGCGCUGAAUUGAAGAAGUGCUGACUCUUUUGCUGAUGGUGGCUUUUCUACAAUAUAAAGAUGGAAAUGGGAAGAAGAUGUUCAUUGCAAAUUAAGGAAGCUCUUCCACGAGUUCACGAAUGGAAAUAACAUCAAGAGUUUUUCAUCUUCUUAGUGUGCAAGAUGUCUGAGGAAUAGUCUUAGUGGAUUAUCCCAAACUUGACACAUUUUUUGCAAAAUGCUAUACAAAAAGAAGAUACAUGCGAUUAUGACAAGAUUCUCCACUUGGUGUGACCAGUCUCAUACAACCCAAGGCUGUGUGUCCAAAGGCAACUGUACUGAUCUUGACAAUAAUC